This 253-nucleotide ribosomal RNA is filed under the name uncultured bacterium. RNAcentral's name for it is "partial 16S ribosomal RNA". It matches the Rfam family "Bacterial small subunit ribosomal RNA", at positions 524 to 776 of the family's 1533-position model. The record is from RNAcentral.
UACGUAGGUGACCAGCGUUGUCCGGAUUUACUGGGCGUAAAGAGCGCGCAGGCGGUCGUUCAAGUCGAGUGUGAAAGCCCCCGGCUCAACUGGGGAGGGUCACUUGAUACUGAUCGACUCGAAGGCAGGAGAGGGAAGCGGAAUUCCCGGUGUAGUGGUGAAAUGCGUAGAUAUCGGGAGGAACACCAGUGGCGAAGGCGGCUUCCUGGCCUGUUCUUGACGCUGAGGCGCGAAGGCUAGGGGAGCAAACGGG